CGUCGCGAUGGCGAGGGUGCGAACCGGCCAUCCGAAGGCCGACCCUGCAUACGGCCGCCUGUUCGAAUCAGCUCGCCGUGC
This 81-nucleotide transfer RNA is filed under the name Lentzea cavernae. RNAcentral's name for it is "tRNA-Arg". The record is from RNAcentral. Lineage: Bacteria; Bacillati; Actinomycetota; Actinomycetes; Pseudonocardiales; Pseudonocardiaceae.